GAGUUUGAUCCUGGCUCAGAACGAACGCUGGCGGCAAGCUUAACACAUGCAAGUUGAACGAGAACGCACCUUCGGGUGUUGGUAGAGUGGCAAACGGGUGAGUAACACGUGGGAAUCUACCUUAUAGUACGGAAUAACUAGUGGAAACGCUAGCUAAUACCGUAUACGCCCUUCGGGGGAAAGAUUUAUCGCUAUAAGAUGAGCCCGCGCCCGAUUAGCUAGUUGGUAGGGUAAUGGCCUACCAAGGCGACGAUCGGUAGCUGGUCUGAGAGGAUGAUCAGCCACACUGGGACUGAGACACGGCCCAGACUCCUACGGGAGGCAGCAGUGGGGAAUAUUGGACAAUGGGCUAACGCCUGAUCCAGCUAUGCCGCGUGAAUGAUAAGGCCUUAGGGUUGUAAAGUUCUUUCAGUAGGGAAGAUAAUGACGGUACCUACAGAAGAAGCCCCGGCUAACUCCGUGCCAGCAGCCGCGGUAAUACGGAGGGGGCUAGCGUUGUUCGGAAUUACUGGGCGUAAAGCGCGCGUAGGCGGUCUAGUAAGUUA
RNAcentral lists this ribosomal RNA (545 nucleotides) under uncultured bacterium. RNAcentral describes it as "bacterial SSU rRNA". It matches the Rfam family "Bacterial small subunit ribosomal RNA", at positions 9 to 590 of the family's 1533-position model. The record is from RNAcentral.